CCCGUUCACACUAGCAUUUUUUUUUUAAUCGAUCUAAUUUGAAUCGAUCUAAAUAAAACCAGUUAGCGUUCACAUUAUCUUUAAUCAUAAAGAAUCUCUACCGGUCUAAACCGAUCCACUGCGUUAACACUACAAUUAAAAACGCAAUCGAUCUAACCUUUUUACCCGUAAUCUGUAAACAUUGUGUAAACAUUGAUACUCUGACACACACACUUGAAAAAAAAAUGGAUAAAGUUAUUGUUUCUCCUGAAUCAGAAGUUAACAUUUUGGUACAGGUGUUAUUGCCGCGUUUUCUAUAAUUUUGAAAAAAAUAUCUGUAGUAACGAAGUUACAACACGACGAAAUAUUGCGGUUCCUGAAAGAAAAAAAAAAUCAUCAUAAGAAAAGAAGGC
This 392-nucleotide long non-coding RNA is filed under the name Mytilus galloprovincialis (Mediterranean mussel). Lineage: Eukaryota; Metazoa; Mollusca; Bivalvia; Mytilida; Mytilidae. The record is from RNAcentral.